GGCUUUUUGAUUUAAUUUAAAGUUUGGCCUGCCCAAUGAUAAAUUUUAAUGGCCGCGGUAUUUUGACUGUGCUAAGGUAGCAUAAUCAUUAGUUUUUUAAUUGAAGACUGGAAUGAAAGGUUUGAUGAGAAAAUUACUGUCUCUAAUUAAUUUUAUUAAAUUUUAUUUUUAAGUUAAAAAGCUUAAAUUUUUUUGAAAGACGAUAAGACCCUAUAGAGUUUUAUUAAUUUUUUAUUUAAGUGGUUUGGUAAAGAUUUUAUUUAAUUAUUAAAUUAAUUAGAUUGGGGUGAUCGAAAAAUUUAUUUAACUUUUUUUUUCUAAGACGUCAAUAUUUGGUUUUUUGAUCCAUAAUUUAUGAUUAUAAGAUUAAAUUACCUUAGGGAUAACAGCGUAAUUUUAUUUGAGAGUUCUUAUCGAAAAAAAAGAUUGCGACCUCGAUGUUGGAUUAAGAUAAAAUUUUGGUGCAGUAGCUAAAAUAUUAAGUCUGUUCGACUUUUUAAAUCUUACA
RNAcentral lists this ribosomal RNA (508 nucleotides) under Hermesia aurata. RNAcentral describes it as "partial 16S ribosomal RNA". It matches the Rfam family "Bacterial large subunit ribosomal RNA", at positions 1819 to 2600 of the family's 2925-position model. Lineage: Eukaryota; Metazoa; Arthropoda; Insecta; Coleoptera; Chrysomelidae. The record is from RNAcentral.